CCCCCAAUCAACUUUUUAUUUUCUUUCUCAAUUAACAUAAAGGUGGCAGACCCACAUUUUCCCCAAUUCUCGGUUCUCUCUCAAUACUAGUCAAAAGUGGAAGUAAAGCAUUUCUCUCUCUCAAACUUUAUUAAAGUAAAAUUUCUCCUUUUUCUCACAUUAAUAUCGGUUCUCUCUCACUCUCCUCACACUACCGAUUUUCUUUCACUCUCCUCACACUACCAUCGGCUCUCUCCCUCAAAAAAUCAAGAAGGAAUCGCUGCUCACAUCUCUCUCUCUUUCGCUCGAUUCCGGCGUCGCGCCGCCGCGCCGCUCCGCCUGCAAUCGCCCGCGGAAGUCGCCGCCGUCUGGAGUUGCUGCCACCGUCGCCAGCUGGAGCGUCGGCAGCGGCUGCUGCCGCUCCUGGUUCGCCGCCGCCUCUGGCGGACGCCACCGCCCCUGAGCUUUUGACGAGGCUAUAGACGUCAUUCCCUCCUUAGUUCUUUCCGCUUUCGAACUCAAGGGAUGGGUCUUCUUUCGCUGUCUUCUGGGUUCCGGCUGAGAAGGGUAGGCCGUCGCUGCUGUCCUCCUCGGAGUCGACGGGCCUGACUCUUCACCUCGCCGUUGCUGCUUUACUCAUAUUCCGGCGAGGCAGCAAGGACUCGUCGUCGUUCCCUUGGUUCGACUGAACAGGUACAUCAAUCUAGUCCCCUUCCAUUUUUCUUAUGUUCUAAGUUAACAUCUUAUAUUUGCGUGAAGUCUUGGUUCUACAUACUAUAUGUGCAAGGGAUUAAUGGCGUUGUGGUGUUGCUACUGUGUUAGCAUCUAAUUUUUAGAGUCCAGUAGGAAUCAUAAACGCAUAGGACAUUCUACAUAACAUGGGUAAAUCUGUAUUACUCAAACGUGACUUUGCUAAGUCCAUUAUGCAUAUAUAUCUCAAUUCUUUAUUCUUACUUUCUAACACAUAAGCAUACUUGUUGGUGUAAAUCAUGUAGCAUGAACUAGAGUAAAAUGAGAUUAGCAAUCACCUUGUGUGUUUUGUGCUUGGUUGGCUGCUGUGCUAAUGAAUUCAGGAGUGAAUAAACUCUUGGGGUCCAGAUUGCAGCUGAAAUAAACUCUCUAUGAUUUUUGGUGCAUAAAGGAAGGAGUAGAUUUGCUGCUGUGAUGAAGAAGGUGAAUGAGGAUGGUUUUAUACUGAACUUAUGGAGAGCUGAUUAGUGUGAAAAGAUGAUGAAUAGUACGGCUAAAUUGUAGAGCGUGGUUGAAGAAUUUAAAGAUGAGAUUUGCUGUUGACAUUCUUGAGAUUUGUUUGCUGAAUUCUUUUUGAUUAUGUAGGAGUGGAAAAAGAAAAGCUAAGCACGGGUGAGCAUAUAUAAAUAGAGUGACUGAGGGAGCAUGGCGUGCUAGAUUUAAU
RNAcentral lists this long non-coding RNA (1393 nucleotides) under Salvia miltiorrhiza (redroot sage). RNAcentral's name for it is "long non-coding RNA (SMIL_LNC003668)". Lineage: Eukaryota; Viridiplantae; Streptophyta; Magnoliopsida; Lamiales; Lamiaceae. The record is from RNAcentral.